This 1105-nucleotide long non-coding RNA is filed under the name Mus spicilegus (steppe mouse). RNAcentral describes it as "lncRNA (ENSMSIG00000011090.1)". The record is from RNAcentral. Lineage: Eukaryota; Metazoa; Chordata; Mammalia; Rodentia; Muridae.
GAGAAAAGGAAAAAGUUGGAGUGACUCUCUAAGCAAAACAACUGCUUAAAGAUUAAAGAUGCACAGAGCACUUCUCCUGAAGGGCAGUCAACCAGAAUUCUGGAGUCAAAAGCAAGCAGCUGAAGAAUCUAGAAGGCUGAGGAACAUACGGAAAACUUCUGUGAUUGUUGAAAUAAAAUCAAGAAGCUAUUCAUUGAGCCUAAAGAAGCCACAUCUGUCUACUAACAAUGUUGCAGAAAACAGCAAGUAAAACAGAGACGCCAGAGACUUUCAAUGAUUGUAACAGGUCUUUCCAGUCAUAGGUAACCCAUGUAUGCAGUUUGUCUUGCCUAGUGCAGGGAUCUAAAGCUUCCUCAGCAUUAUGAGUGCAAGAGAUAUGCAAACAACCGAGAUUGGAGCUGUUCACCCGUGUCUACAUUACAGGUAUCUUAAGCAUAGCAAUGGCCUGGACCAACUGACUGAGUUUCCCAUAACACAGAUGUCACAAACGCAGCAUGGAACACUCAGGGGAAUCCAGACAGUGCACAGUGCAGAAGAGAACAGGAAGUGAGAUGUUGCCAAGCACAUUUUAGCUAAAGAUUUUUUACCAUACCUUCACUGGAGAGUGCUUUUGUUUACUUAUAAGGAAUAAGGGAACCCUCUUGUAGAAAAGAUGCCAUCCAUAGUCUGUAACUAGGUCUUAGGUAGAUGAAUAGUAGGGUGUAAGAUCUUCUCAGUCUUUAGUGUAGGCCUGACUUGUUGACAAAUCUUUUCAUUGUGAACCUCUUUGAGUAUAUAAAAAGUAGACACAAAAAUGGUGAAGAAUGAAAAUACAGUUAUGGAUGUACAGAGGCACAAAUCAAUAUGGCUGUCCUUCAGGCUUUACAGGAGAAUAGUUCCAGGACCCUCCCAAUUUUAAACUUCACAGAUAUCCAAAUACUGUUGUUAAGAUGGAGUAAGAUUUAUAUAUGAACUCCACACAUCUUCCCAUGUACUUCAAACUGUCUCUGGCUUACAUACAACACUUAUCACAAAUGAGUGCUCUACAAAUAGAAACUACGGUAUAUUUUCAAAGAAAAAGAACAAGAAAAAAGUCUGUGGAUGAUAGAACGAAUUUUCCUGUGGG